RNAcentral lists this ribosomal RNA (443 nucleotides) under uncultured bacterium. RNAcentral describes it as "partial 16S ribosomal RNA". It matches the Rfam family "Bacterial small subunit ribosomal RNA", at positions 338 to 795 of the family's 1533-position model. The record is from RNAcentral.
CCUACGGGAGGCUGCAGUGGGGAAUAUUGGGCAAUGGGCGCAAGCCUGACCCAGCAACGCCGCGUGAAGGAAGAAGGCUUUCGGGUUGUAAACUUCUUUUAUCAGGGACGAAGCAAGUGACGGUAGCUGAUGAAUAAGCCACGGCUAACGACGUGCCAGCAGCCGCGGUAAUACGUAGGUGGCAAGCGUUAUCCGGAUUUACUGGGUGUAAAGGGCGUGUAGGCGGGGGAGCAAGUCCGAUGUGAAAAGGAUGGGCUCAACCCAUAGCCUGGGUUUGAAAUUGUACUUGUUGAGUGCUGGAGGGGCAAUCGGAAUUCCGUGUGUAGCGGUGAAAUGCGUAGAUAUACGGAGGAACACCAGUGGCGAAGGCGGAUUGCUGGACAGUAACUGACGCUGAGGCGCGAAAGCGUGGGGAGCAAACAGGAUUAGAUACCCGUGUAGUC